This 497-nucleotide ribosomal RNA is filed under the name uncultured bacterium. Its description in RNAcentral is "partial 16S ribosomal RNA". It matches the Rfam family "Bacterial small subunit ribosomal RNA", at positions 28 to 507 of the family's 1533-position model. The record is from RNAcentral.
GAUGAACGCUGGCGGCGUGCCUAAUACAUGCCAGUCGAGCGAACGGACUAGAAGCUUGCUUCUCUGAUGUUAGCGGCGGACGGGUGAGUAACACGUGGAUAACCUACCUAUAAGACUGGGAUAACUUCGGGAAACCGUAGCUAAUACCGGAUAAUAUUUUGAACCGCAUGGUUCAAAAGUGAAAGACGGUCUUGCUGUCACUUAUAGAUGGAUCCGCGCUGCAUUAGCUAGUUGGUAAGGUAACGGCUUACCAAGGCAACGAUGCAUAGCCGACCUGAGAGGGUGAUCGGCCACACUGGAACUGAGACACGGUCCAGACUCCUACGGGAGGCAGCAGUAGGGAAUCUUCCGCAAUGGGCGAAAGCCUGACGGAGCAACGCCGCGUGAGUGAUGAAGGUCUUCGGAUCGUAAAACUCUGUUAUUAGGGAAGAACAUAUGUGUAAGUAACUGUGCACAUCUUGACGGUACCUAAUCAGAAAGCCACGGCUAACUACGUG